AGAGUUGAUCAUGGCUCAGGAUGAACGCUAGCUACAGGCUUAACACAUGCAAGUCGAGGGGCAGCAUGAUCGAAGCUUGCUUGAUGAUGGCGACCGGCGCACGGGUGAGUAACGCGUAUCCAACCUUCCCUAUAGUAGAGGAUAGCCCGGCGAAAGUCGGAUCAAUACUCUAUGUUUUCCAAUGCAGACAUCUAAGUUGGAACAAAGGUUUACCGCUAUAGGAUGGGGAUGCGUCUGAUUAGGUUGUUGGCGGGGUAACGGCCCACCAAGCCUACGAUCAGUAGGGGUUCUGAGAGGAAGGUCCCCCACAUUGGAACUGAGACACGGUCCAAACUCCUACGGGAGGCAGCAGUGAGGAAUAUUGGUCAAUGGGCGAGAGCCUGAACCAGCCAAAAGUAGCGUGCAGGAUGACGGCCCUAUGGGUUGUAAACUGCUUUUAUACGGGGAUAAAGUGAGGGACGUGUCCCUUUUUGUAGGUACCGUAUGAAUAAGGACCGGCUAAUUCCGUGCCAGCCGCCGC
Molecule: ribosomal RNA, 520 nt
Filed under: uncultured bacterium
Lineage: Bacteria
Description: bacterial SSU rRNA
Rfam family: Bacterial small subunit ribosomal RNA
Source: RNAcentral